AUUGAACGCUGGCGGCAUGCUUUACACAUGCGAGUCGAACGGCAGCGCGGGCUUCGGCCUGGCGGCGAGUGGCGAACGGGUGAGUAAUACAUCGGAACGUGCCCAGUAGUGGGGGAUAGCUCGGCGAAAGCCGGAUUAAUACCGCAUACGACCUGAGGGUGAAAGCGGGGGAUCUUCGGACCUCGCGCUAUUGGAGCGGCCGAUGGCAGAUUAGCUAGUUGGUGGGGUAAAGGCCUACCAAGGCGACGAUCUGUAGCUGGUCUGAGAGGACGACCAGCCACACUGGGACUGAGACACGGCCCAGACUCCUACGGGAGGCAGCAGUGGGGAAUUUUGGACAAUGGGCGAAAGCCUGAUCCAGCAAUGCCGCGUGUGUGAUGAAGGCCUUCGGGUUGUAAAGCACUUUUGCGGGAACGAAAAGGACUGUGCCAAUACCACGGUUCGAUGACGGUACCCGCAGAAUAAGCACCGGCUAACUACGUG
This 483-nucleotide ribosomal RNA is filed under the name uncultured bacterium. Its description in RNAcentral is "partial 16S ribosomal RNA". It matches the Rfam family "Bacterial small subunit ribosomal RNA", at positions 29 to 507 of the family's 1533-position model. The record is from RNAcentral.